CACAUGAGAACAGGGUCACCUUGUUCUAUAUCAAGGUUGACGAUGUAACAAGGAUAACUAAAACAAAAAUGCCAUUUUCUUCUCCUCACUUCUAGCCAUCAUCUUAUAAACUAUAAGGACCACAAUGCAAAUCACAUACAGAAAAUCUAAUUAAGGGAUAAGCACAGCCACUUAGCUAAGCACAAACUGUGUGCAUGUGUGUAACGUUAUCAUACGCAAUCUCUGUCUUUGGGAUAAUUAACAGGAUGAAAAUACUACAGCUUUAAAAAAAAAAUAACACAUCAUUAUCUUAAUUGUCU
Non-coding RNA from Pelobates cultripes (western spadefoot toad), 299 nucleotides. Lineage: Eukaryota; Metazoa; Chordata; Amphibia; Anura; Pelobatidae. The record is from the annotation of a GenBank genome assembly.